AACGAACGCUGGCGGCAGGCUUAACACAUGCAAGUCGAGCGCCCCGCAAGGGGAGCGGCAGACGGGUGAGUAACGCGUGGGAAUCUACCGUGCCCUAAGGAAUAGCUCCGGGAAACUGGAAUUAAUACCUUAUACGCCCUUCGGGGGAAAGAUUUAUCGGGGUAUGAUGAGCCCGCGUUGGAUUAGCUAGUUGGUGGGGU
RNAcentral lists this ribosomal RNA (200 nucleotides) under uncultured bacterium. RNAcentral's name for it is "partial 16S ribosomal RNA". It matches the Rfam family "Bacterial small subunit ribosomal RNA", at positions 29 to 258 of the family's 1533-position model. The record is from RNAcentral.